UAUUUUGAAAAUACAAGAAAGAUUUUAAAACAUUUAUUAAUUUU
This 44-nucleotide ribosomal RNA is filed under the name Scirtothrips aff. dorsalis AMD-2014. RNAcentral's name for it is "partial 16S ribosomal RNA". Lineage: Eukaryota; Metazoa; Arthropoda; Insecta; Thysanoptera; Thripidae. The record is from RNAcentral.